This 484-nucleotide ribosomal RNA is filed under the name uncultured bacterium. Its description in RNAcentral is "partial 16S ribosomal RNA". It matches the Rfam family "Bacterial small subunit ribosomal RNA", at positions 30 to 507 of the family's 1533-position model. The record is from RNAcentral.
AUUGAACGCUGGCGGCAGGCCUAACACAUGCAAGUCGAGCGGAUGAAGGGAGCUUGCUCCUGGAUUCAGCGGCGGACGGGUGAGUAAUGCCUAGGAAUCUGCCUGGUAGUGGGGGAUAACGUCCGGAAACGGGCGCUAAUACCGCAUACGUCCUGAGGGAGAAAGUGGGGGAUCUUCGGACCUCACGCUAUCAGAUGAGCCUAGGUCGGAUUAGCUAGUUGGUGGGGUAAAGGCCUACCAAGGCGACGAUCCGUAACUGGUCUGAGAGGAUGAUCAGUCAAACGGGAACGGAGAACGGCUCAAGAUUCUUAGGGGAGGAGCCAGUGGGGAAUUUUGGAAAAGGGGGGAAAGCCGGCCGCAGCAAGCCGGGUGGGGGGAGGAAGGUUUUGGGUUUUAAAACCCUUUUAAGUGGGGAGAAAGGGAAUUAGUUUAAAACGUUCAUGUUGUGACGUUACCAAAAAAGAAAGCCCCGGCUAACUACGUG